CCCGGCCAAUGCAAAGAGAACUUUUAC
This 27-nucleotide non-coding RNA is filed under the name Cricetulus griseus (Chinese hamster). Lineage: Eukaryota; Metazoa; Chordata; Mammalia; Rodentia; Cricetidae. The record is from RNAcentral.